UUUCAACGAGGAUUUUUCCCUUGUUUCUUUUUGCAGCUGGCAUGUGGCUGCGGUCACUCCUCGGGCGUGCCUAGCUCCUGCGGUGGCUUCCUCAAGACUGAUUGGCUUCAUUCUCAGCAAGCUCUCUUCACAUGGAGGGAAAGAAGCUCCUGGCAGCCACACGUUCGUGUGGUGGUUACAGUUCAUGAUCUCCGGAGGAGAAAGACUUCCAACAUUCCCACCCCUCUCUGGACAGCGACUCUGCUUGGCUCCAUUUGGGUCACGUGCCCACCUCUGGACCCAUCACUGUCACCUGGAAACAGGUAAUCCUAACUGGUCAGGCUACUCAUGCACCCACUCUUGUGAUGGGGGAGGCAAAGCCCUUCGCUUCACAGCCCCACUGGUGGAGACCACCGCCCACCACAGCAAAGCGUCUCCAGCACAAUUCUGGGACCCAAAGAAGUCCCAAGCAGUCCAAAUUCAGAGAUAGCUUUACUCUGACAAAAACAUGCGUGUUAGUUGGGCUGGACUCUGUAGGGUGCAAUCAGGAAAUAGCCUUAUUUCAUUUUUUUCCCAUUCUUGUGCUUCAAACCGGCUGUGUCAGAUUUCCUUUUCCUGACUCUAGACAGUAUCCUGAGCAAAGUGCGUAACUUUUCCAGUUGCUUUUUACUUUUAGAACAGUCUUAUUUCAAG
RNAcentral lists this long non-coding RNA (672 nucleotides) under Equus asinus (donkey). RNAcentral's name for it is "lncRNA (ENSEASG00005025069.1)". The record is from RNAcentral. Lineage: Eukaryota; Metazoa; Chordata; Mammalia; Perissodactyla; Equidae.